AUACAUACACGCACACAUAAGAC
RNAcentral lists this non-coding RNA (23 nucleotides) under Mus musculus (house mouse). Lineage: Eukaryota; Metazoa; Chordata; Mammalia; Rodentia; Muridae. The record is from RNAcentral.